This 367-nucleotide unclassified non-coding RNA is filed under the name uncultured Chloroflexota bacterium. Its description in RNAcentral is "uncultured Chloroflexi bacterium contains 16S-23S intergenic spacer region". Lineage: Bacteria; Bacillati; Chloroflexota. The record is from RNAcentral.
UCUGGGUUUAUCCCAGCGGUCCCGUCAGAAAAAUAUAACUGACGGCGAGGGUUGCGCUCGUUGCGGGACUUAACCCAACACCUCACGGCACGAGCUGACGACAGCCAUGCACCACCUGCGCAUAAGUCCCUUGCGGGAGGUUCUGGCUUUCACCAAAAUUUCCUAUGCAUGUCAAACCCAGGUAAGGUUCUUCGCGUUGCCUCGAAUUAAACCACACGCUCCGCUGCUUGUGCGGGCCCCCGCCUAUUCCUUUGAGUUUUAGCCUUGCGGCCGUACUCCCCAGGCGGGCCACUUAAUGCGUUUGCUGCGGCGCGGAGGGGGUCGAUACCCCCCACACCUAGUUCACAACGUUUAGGGCGUGGACUAC